UACGAGUGCCUCAAGCGUUACCCGGAAUCACUGGGCGUAAAGGGUGCGAAGGCGGACAUGUUAGUCCUGCGUUAAAAUCCGAGGCUUAACCUCGGCGAGGCGCGGGAGACGGCAUGUCUUGAGGAUGCGAGAGGCAGACGGAACCCACGGUGUAGAGGUGAAAUUCGUUGAUAUCGUGGGGAACACCAAAGGCGAAGGCAGUCUGCUGGCGCACUCCUGACGCUGUAGCACGAAAGCAUGGGUAGCGAAGAGG
RNAcentral lists this unclassified non-coding RNA (253 nucleotides) under uncultured bacterium. RNAcentral's name for it is "contains 16S-23S intergenic spacer region". It matches the Rfam family "Bacterial small subunit ribosomal RNA", at positions 524 to 776 of the family's 1533-position model. The record is from RNAcentral.